AGUGAACGCUGGCGGUAGGCCUAACACAUGCAAGUCGAACGGCAGCACAGUAAGAGCUUGCUCUUACGGGUGGCGAGUGGCGGACGGGUGAGGAAUACAUCGGAAUCUACUUUUUCGUGGGGGAUAACGUAGGGAAACUUACGCUAAUGCCGCAUACGACCUACGGGUGAAAGCAGGGGAUCUUCGGACCUUGCGCGAUUGAAUGAGCCGAUGUCGGAUUAGCUAGUUGGCGGGGUAAAGGCCCACCAAGGCGACGAUCCGUAGCUGGUCUGAGAGGAUGAUCAGCCACACUGGAACUGAGACACGGUCCAGACUCCUACGGGAGGCAGCAGUGGGGAAUAUUGGACAAUGGGCGCAAGCCUGAUCCAGCCAUACCGCGUGGGUGAAGAAGGCCUUCGGGUUGUAAAGCCCUUUUGUUGGGAAAGAAAAGCAGCAGGUUAAUACCCCGCUGUUCUGACGGUACCCAAAGAAGAAGCACCGGCUAACUUCGUG
This 492-nucleotide ribosomal RNA is filed under the name uncultured bacterium. RNAcentral's name for it is "partial 16S ribosomal RNA". It matches the Rfam family "Bacterial small subunit ribosomal RNA", at positions 29 to 507 of the family's 1533-position model. The record is from RNAcentral.